GACGAACGCUGGCGGCGGGCUUAACACAUGCAAGUCGAACGGAAAGGCCCUGCUUUUGUGUGGUGCUCGAGUGGCGAACGGGUGAGUAACACGUGAGUAACCUGCCCUUGACUGUGGGAGAACUUCAGGAAACGGUGGCUAAUACCGGAUAGGAGCUCCUGCUGCAUGGUGGGGGUUGGAAAGUUUCGGCGGGUGGGGCUGGGCUCGCGGCUUAUCGGCUUGGUGGUGGGGUAGUGGCUUACCAAGGCUCUGACGGGUAGCCGGCCUGAGAGGGUGACCGGCCACAUUGGGCCUGCGAUACGGCCCAGACUCCUACGGGAGGCAGCAGUGGGGAAUAUUGCACAAUGGGCGGAAGCCUGAUGCAGCAACGCCGCGUGCGUGAUGACGGCCUUCGGGUUGUAAACCGCUUUCGCCUGUGACGAAGCGUGAGUGACGGUACUGGGUAAAGAAGCACCGGCUAACUACGUG
This 468-nucleotide ribosomal RNA is filed under the name uncultured bacterium. RNAcentral describes it as "partial 16S ribosomal RNA". It matches the Rfam family "Bacterial small subunit ribosomal RNA", at positions 28 to 507 of the family's 1533-position model. The record is from RNAcentral.